AGUGAACGCUGGCGGUAGGCCUAACACAUGCAAGUCGAACGGCAGCACAGUAAGAGCUUGCUCUUACGGGUGGCGAGUGGCGGACGGGUGAGGAAUACAUCGGAAUCUACUUUUUCGUGGGGGAUAACGUAGGGAAACUUACGCUAAUACCGCAUACGACCUACGGGUGAAAGCAGGGGAUCUUCGGACCUUGCUCGAUUUAAUGAGCCGAUGUCGGAUUAGCUAGUUGGCGGGGUAAAGGCCCACCAAGGCGACGAUCCGUAGCUGGUCUGAGAGGAUGAUCAGCAACACUGGAACUGAGACACGGUCAAGACUCCUACGGGAGGCAGCAGUGGGGAAUAUUGGACAAUGGGCGCAAGCCUGAUCCAGCCAUACCGCGUGGGUGAAGAAGGCCUUCGGGUUGUAAAGCCCUUUUGUUGGGAAAGAAAAGCAGCAGGUUAAUACCCCGCUGUUCUGACGGUACCCAAAGAAUAAGCACCGGCUAACUUCGUG
This 492-nucleotide ribosomal RNA is filed under the name uncultured bacterium. RNAcentral's name for it is "partial 16S ribosomal RNA". It matches the Rfam family "Bacterial small subunit ribosomal RNA", at positions 29 to 507 of the family's 1533-position model. The record is from RNAcentral.